GUGUUGUAUGAAAGGAGAGAAGGUUAGCACUCCCCUUGACAAGGAUGGAAGAGGCCCUCAGGCCUGCACAACACGCAUACGGUUAAGGCAUUGCCACCUACGUUUGUGCAUCUAACCAUCGUUUUUG
Molecule: non-coding RNA, 127 nt
Filed under: Choloepus hoffmanni (Hoffmann's two-fingered sloth)
Lineage: Eukaryota; Metazoa; Chordata; Mammalia; Pilosa; Megalonychidae
Source: RNAcentral